This 389-nucleotide long non-coding RNA is filed under the name Nicotiana tabacum (common tobacco). RNAcentral describes it as "long non-coding RNA (NTAB_LNC004893)". Lineage: Eukaryota; Viridiplantae; Streptophyta; Magnoliopsida; Solanales; Solanaceae. The record is from RNAcentral.
GUAUAACGAGAGGAAUAAUUUUCAGUCUUAGUUUAAAUAGGCGCCCACCUGUAUAACGAGAGGAAUACUUUUCAUAUCUUAGUUUAAAUAGGCGCCCACCUAUAUAACGAGAGGAAUAAUUUUCAUGUCUUAGUUUAAAUAGGCGCCCACCUGUAUAACGAGAGGAAUACUUUUCAUGUCUUAGUUUAAAUAGGCGCCCACCUGUAUAACGAGAGGAAUAAUUUUCAUGUCUUAGUUUAAAUAGGCGCCCACCUGUAUAACGAGAGGAAUAAUUUUCAUGUCUUAAUUUAAAUAGGCGCCCACCUGUAUAACGAGAGGAAUAAUUUUCAUGUCUUAGUUUAAAUAGGCGCCCACCUGUAUAACGAGAGGAAUACUUUUCAUGUUUUAAG